AGAAAAUGGAAGGGUGGAGGGAAUGGGUCAAACUCUUGUGGUUCUUGAGCUGGCAAGGCAGCGCAGAUACUGUUGACCUCAUUCUAAUGCAUACUGUUGAUUUUGUGGUUGGAGACCAUGUGAAGUCGAGAGACAGCGUCACCUUGAGGCAAUGAUUUUCAGCAGCACGACCCAACAUCUACAGGUGAGGCUCUCUGUGAGACAGAUGAUUGGAUGUGAGGUUCUAGCUCCAAGACAUCCUUCUAGACACCA
Molecule: non-coding RNA, 252 nt
Organism: Doryrhamphus excisus (bluestripe pipefish)
Lineage: Eukaryota; Metazoa; Chordata; Actinopteri; Syngnathiformes; Syngnathidae
Source: RefSeq, a predicted model, not a curated record